Molecule: ribosomal RNA, 253 nt
Filed under: uncultured bacterium
Lineage: Bacteria
Description: partial 16S ribosomal RNA
Rfam family: Bacterial small subunit ribosomal RNA
Source: RNAcentral
UACGAAGGGGGCUAGCGUUGCUCGGAAUCACUGGGCGUAAAGGGUGCGUGGGCGGGUUUUUAAGUCAGAGGUGAAAUCCUGGAGCUCAACUCCAGAACUGCCUUUGAUACUGGGAAUCUUGAGUAUGGAAGAGGUGAGUGGAACUGCGAGUGUAGAGGUGAAAUUCGUAGAUAUUCGCAAGAACACCAGUGGCGAAGGCGGCUCACUGGCCCGGUACUGACGCUGAGGUGCGAAAGCGUGGGGAGCAAACAGG